CGUAGGUGAUCUGCCUUUCACUUCGGGAUAAGCUUGGGAAACUGGGUCUAAUACCGGAUAUUCACGGCACCGUGGUUGGUGUGGUGGAAAGCUUUUGCGGUGGGAGAUGAGCUUGCGGCCUAUCAGCUUGUUGGUGGGGUAAUGGCCUACCAAGGCGGCGACGGGUAGCCGGCCUGAGAGGGUGUGCGGCCACAUUGGGACUGAGAUACGGCCCAGACUCCUACGGGAGGCAGCAGUGGGGAAUUUUGCACAAUGGGCGGAAGCCUGAUGCAGCGACGCCGUGUGGGGGAUGAAGGCCUUCGGGUUGUAAACUCCUUUCGUCAGGGACGAAGUUUGUUUGACGGUACCUGGAUAAGAAGCACCGGCUAACUACGUGCCAGCAGCCGCGGUAAUACGUAGGGUGCGAGCGUUGUCCGGAUUUACUGGGCGUAAAGGGCUCGUAGGUGGUGUGUUGCGUCGUCUGUGUAAUCCAGGGGCUUA
This 480-nucleotide ribosomal RNA is filed under the name uncultured bacterium. Its description in RNAcentral is "bacterial SSU rRNA". It matches the Rfam family "Bacterial small subunit ribosomal RNA", at positions 116 to 611 of the family's 1533-position model. The record is from RNAcentral.